RNAcentral lists this ribosomal RNA (588 nucleotides) under uncultured bacterium. Its description in RNAcentral is "partial 16S ribosomal RNA". It matches the Rfam family "Bacterial small subunit ribosomal RNA", at positions 355 to 1375 of the family's 1533-position model. The record is from RNAcentral.
UGGGGAAUUUUGGACAAUGGGCGAAAGCCUGAUCCAGCAAUGCCGCGUGUGUGAAGAAGGCCUUCGGGUUGUAAAGCACUUUUGUCCGGAAAGAAAUCCUUGGCUCUAAUACAGUCGGGGGAUGACGGUACCGGAAGAAUAAGCACCGGCUAACUACGUGCCAGCAGCCGCGGUAAUACGUAGGGUGCAAGCGUUAAUCGGAAUUACUGGGCGUAAAGCGUGCGCAGGCGGUUUGCUAAGACCGAUGUGAAAUCCCCGGGCUCAACCUGGGAACUGCAUUGGUGACUGGCAGGCUAGAGUAUGGCAGAGGUGGGUAGAAUUCCACGUGUAGCAGUGAAAUGCGUAGAGAUGUGGAGGAAUACCGAUGGCGAAGGCAGCCCCCUGGGCCAAUACUGACGCUCAUGCACGAAAGCGUGGGGAGCAAACAGGAUUAGAUACCCUGGUAGUCCACGCCCUAAAACGAUGUCAACUAGUUGUUGGGGAUUCAUUUCCUUAGUAACGUAGCUAACGCGUGAAGUUGACCGCCUGGGGGAGUACGGUCGCAAGAUUAAAAACUUAAAUGAAUUGACGGGGUCAUAGCUGUUUCCU